RNAcentral lists this ribosomal RNA (497 nucleotides) under uncultured bacterium. RNAcentral describes it as "partial 16S ribosomal RNA". It matches the Rfam family "Bacterial small subunit ribosomal RNA", at positions 28 to 507 of the family's 1533-position model. The record is from RNAcentral.
GACGAACGCUGGCGGCGUGCCUAAUACAUGCAAGUAGAACGCUGAAGAGAGGAGCUUACUCUUCUUGGAUGAGUUGCGAACGGGUGAGUAACGCGUAGGUAACCUGCCUUGUAGCGGGGGAUAACUAUUGGAAACGAUAGCUAAUACCGCAUAACAAUGGAUGACACAUGUCAUUUAUUUGAAAGGGGCAAUUGCUCCACUACAAGAUGGACCUGCGUUGUAUUAGCUAGUAGGUGAGGUAAUGGCUCACCUAGGCGACGAUACAUAGCCGACCUGAGAGGGUGAUCGGCCACACUGGGACUGAGACACGGCCCAGACUCCUACGGGAGGCAGCAGUAGGGAAUCUUCGGCAAUGGGGGCAACCCUGACCGAGUAACGCCGCGUGAGUGAAGAAGGUUUUCGGAUCGUAAAGCUCUGUUGUAAGUCAAGAACGGGUGUGAGAGUGGAAAGUUCACACUGUGACGGUAGCUUACCAGAAAGGGACGGCUAACUACGUG